RNAcentral lists this ribosomal RNA (274 nucleotides) under uncultured bacterium. Its description in RNAcentral is "partial 16S ribosomal RNA". It matches the Rfam family "Bacterial small subunit ribosomal RNA", at positions 523 to 796 of the family's 1533-position model. The record is from RNAcentral.
AUACGGAGGGGGCAAGCGUUAUUCGGAAUUAUUGGGCGUAAAGGGCGCGUAGGCGGCCCGACAAGUCAACGGUGAAAUCCCUCGGCCUAACCGAGGAACUGCCUUUGAAACUGUCAGGCUUGAGGCCGGGAGAGGGUAGUGGAAUUCCCAGUGUAGCGGUGAAAUGCGUAGAUAUUGGGAGGAACACCAGUGGCGAAGGCGACUACCUGGACCGGUUCUGACGCUGAGGCGCGAAAGCGUGGGGAGCAAACAGGAUUAGAAACCCGGGUAGUCC